UACGGAGGGUGCAAGCGUUAUCCGGAAUCACUGGGUUUAAAGGGUGCGUAGGCGGCUUGGUAAGUCAGCGGUGAAAGCUUCCCGCUUAACGGGAGAACUGCCCCUGAUACUGCCAGGCUUGAAUCGGCACGAGGCAGGCGGAAUGUGACAUGUAGCGGUGAAAUGCUUAGAUAUGUCAUAGAACACCGAUUGCGAAGGCAGCCUGCCAGAGCCGCAUUGACGCUGAGGCACGAAAGCGUGGGGAGCGAACAGG
Molecule: ribosomal RNA, 253 nt
Filed under: uncultured bacterium
Lineage: Bacteria
Description: partial 16S ribosomal RNA
Rfam family: Bacterial small subunit ribosomal RNA
Source: RNAcentral